This 496-nucleotide ribosomal RNA is filed under the name uncultured bacterium. RNAcentral describes it as "partial 16S ribosomal RNA". It matches the Rfam family "Bacterial small subunit ribosomal RNA", at positions 29 to 507 of the family's 1533-position model. The record is from RNAcentral.
AUGAACGCUGGCGGCGUGCCUAAUACCUGCCAGUCGAGCGAACGGACGAGAAGCUUGCUUCUCUGAUGUUAGCGGCGGACGGGUGAGUAACACGUGGAUAACCUACCAAUAAGACUGGGAUAACUUCGGGAAACCGGAGCUAAUACCGGAUGAUAUUUUGAACCGCAUGGUUCAAAAGUGAAAGACGGUCUUGCUGUCACUUAUAGAUGGAUCCGCGCUGCAUUAGCUAGUUGGUAAGGUAACGGCUUACCAAGGCAACGAUGCAUAGCCGACCUGAGAGGGUGAUCGGCCACACUGGAACUGAGACACGGUCCAGACUCCUACGGGAGGCAGCAGUAGGGAAUCUUCCGCAAUGGGCGAAAGCCUGACGGAGCAACGCCGCGUGAGUGAUGAAGGUCUUCGGAUCGUAAAACUCUGUUAUUAGGGAAGAACAUAUGUGUAAGUAACUGUGCACAUCUUGACGGUACCUAAUCAGAAAGCCACGGCUAACUACGUG